RNAcentral lists this ribosomal RNA (504 nucleotides) under uncultured bacterium. Its description in RNAcentral is "bacterial SSU rRNA". It matches the Rfam family "Bacterial small subunit ribosomal RNA", at positions 29 to 523 of the family's 1533-position model. The record is from RNAcentral.
AAUGAACGUUGGCGGCGUGGAUUAGGCAUGCAAGUCGAGCGAGAAUUUGCGAUUGGAAGCUUCGGCCGAAGAAAGUGAAGGAAAGCGGCAAACGGCGUAGUAAGGCGUAGGUACGUACCCUCGGGUCGGGAAUAGCCAUGGGAAACUGUGGGUAAUGCCCGAUAAUCUCUGCGGAGCAAAGGUGUGAUUCCGCCGGAGGAGCGGCUUACGUGAUAUUAGCUAGUUGGUGGGGUAAUGGCCUACCAAGGCAACGAUGUCUAGGGGGUGUGAGAGCAUGGCCCCCACGACCGGAACUGAGACACUGUCCGGACACCUACGGGUGGCUGCAGUCGAGAAUCUUCCGCAAUGGGCGAAAGCCUGACGGAGCGACGCCGCGUGGUGGAUGAAGGCCCUUGGGUUGUAAACACCUGUCAGAGGGGAUGAAAUCAUGGUUGGCAAUCCUUCCAUGUUGACAGAGCCUCAGGAGGAAGCGACGGGCUAAGUACGUGCCAGCAGCCGCGGUAA